This 229-nucleotide ribosomal RNA is filed under the name uncultured bacterium. Its description in RNAcentral is "partial 16S ribosomal RNA". It matches the Rfam family "Bacterial small subunit ribosomal RNA", at positions 568 to 796 of the family's 1533-position model. The record is from RNAcentral.
UGCGUAGGCGGAAAAUUAAGUCAGUGGUGAAAUCUUUCGGCUCAACCGAGAAACUGCCAUUGAUACUGUUAAUCUUGAGUUCGGUUGAGGUAGGCGGAAUGUGUAAUGUAGCGGUGAAAUGCUUAGAUAUUACACAGAACACCAAUUGCGUAGGCAGCUUACUAGACCGACACUGACGCUGAGGCACGAAAGCGUGGGGAGCGAACAGGAUUAGAUACCCUGGUAGUCC